UAACCUUUCAUUAAUACUUCG
RNAcentral lists this non-coding RNA (21 nucleotides) under Caenorhabditis elegans. Lineage: Eukaryota; Metazoa; Nematoda; Chromadorea; Rhabditida; Rhabditidae. The record is from RNAcentral.